Molecule: ribosomal RNA, 254 nt
Filed under: uncultured archaeon
Lineage: Archaea
Description: partial 16S ribosomal RNA
Rfam family: Archaeal small subunit ribosomal RNA
Source: RNAcentral
CANCGGCGGCUCGAGUGGUAACCGUUAUUAUUGGGUCUAAAGGGUCUGUCGCCGGCCGGAUAAGUCUCUUGAGAAAUCUGGCAGCUUAACUGUCAGGCUUUCAGGAGAUACUGUCUGGCUCGAGGCCGGGAGAGGUGAGAGGUACUUCAGGGGUAGGGGUGAAAUCUUGUAAUCCUUGAAGGACCACCAGUGGCGAAGGCGUCUCACCAGAACGGACCUGACGGCAAGGGACGAAAGCUAGGGGCACGAACCGG